UACGUAGGGUGCAAGCGUUGUCCGGAAUUAUUGGGCGUAAAGAGCUCGUAGGCGGUCUGUCGCGUCGGCUGUGAAAACUCGGGGCUCAACCCCGAGCCUGCAGUCGAUACGGGCAGACUAGAGUGCUGUAGGGGAGACUGGAAUUCCUGGUGUAGCGGUGAAAUGCGCAGAUAUCAGGAGGAACACCGGUGGCGAAGGCGGUUCUCUGGGACGGUACUGACGCUGAGACGCGAAAGCGUGGGGAGCGAACAGG
Molecule: ribosomal RNA, 253 nt
Filed under: uncultured bacterium
Lineage: Bacteria
Description: partial 16S ribosomal RNA
Rfam family: Bacterial small subunit ribosomal RNA
Source: RNAcentral